CUCCGAGGCCCCACCGCAGCGCGUCUCUCCGGUGAAUGGCCGAGGGCUGGGUGGGGCUGCGGUGGGCAGCGGUGGCCUUUCUCCUUCACACACAUACACAUGCCUUCCAAAUGUGCAUGGCUUGGGAUUCGCGUAUUUGUUUAAGAGACGACGGCCACAUCCUUUUGUUCGGCGUUCAGCAGACUCCUCCGAGUUCCGGGAUUUCUCCCGACUGAGGCGUCUCCGUCUCAGUACUCUCGGAGGAAAGCCUCGAGGGGCAGAACUGCCCUCUGUUGUUUCACGGGGCUGGAACCUCCCUCUCCGCAGCCCAAAGAAUCCGGAUGGACCCGCCUUUCCCAGAACCGGAGACCUUGGC
This 355-nucleotide long non-coding RNA is filed under the name Homo sapiens (human). RNAcentral describes it as "LHRI_LNC582.1". Lineage: Eukaryota; Metazoa; Chordata; Mammalia; Primates; Hominidae. The record is from RNAcentral.